RNAcentral lists this ribosomal RNA (502 nucleotides) under uncultured bacterium. RNAcentral describes it as "partial 16S ribosomal RNA". It matches the Rfam family "Bacterial small subunit ribosomal RNA", at positions 28 to 523 of the family's 1533-position model. The record is from RNAcentral.
GACGAACGCUGGCGGCGUGCUUAACACAUGCAAGUCGAACAGCAUCACGGGAGCUUGCUCCUGGUGGCGGGUGGCGGACGGGUGAGGAAUACAUCGCAACGUACCCAGGAGGGGGGGAUAACGUAGCGUAAGUUACGCUAAUACCGCAUAUUCUGUUAGCAGGAAAGCGGGGGAUCGAAAGAACUCGCGCUGUUGGAGCGGCUGAUGUCGGAGUAGCUAGUUGGUGAGGUAAAAGCGCACCAAGGCGACGAUGCGUAGCAGGUCUGAGAGGAUGAUCUGCCACACUGGGACUGAGAAACGGCCCAGACUCCUACGGGAGGCAGCAGUGGGGAAUUUUGGACAAUGGGGGCAACCCUUAUCCAGCCAUGCCGCGUGAGUGAAGAAGGCCUUCGGGUUGUAAAGCUCUUUCGGCGGGGAAGAAAUGGCAACGGCUAAUAUCCGUUGUUGAUGACGGUACCCGCAUAAGAAGCACCGGCUAACUACGUGCCAGCAGCCGCGAUAA